RNAcentral lists this ribosomal RNA (725 nucleotides) under uncultured fungus. Its description in RNAcentral is "SSU rRNA". It matches the Rfam family "Eukaryotic small subunit ribosomal RNA", at positions 333 to 1062 of the family's 1831-position model. The record is from RNAcentral. Lineage: Eukaryota; Fungi.
AUAGAGGCCUACCAUGGUGGUAACGGGUAACGGGGUGUUAGGGCACGACACCGGAGAGGGAGCCUGAGAAACGGCUACCACAUCCAAGGAUGGCAGCAGGCGCGCAAAUUACCCAAUCCCGACACGGGGAGGUAGUGACAAUAAAUAACAAUACGGGGUUCUUUCGGAUCUCGUAAUUGGAAUGAGUACAAUUUAAAUCUCUUAGCGAGGAACAAUUGGAGGGCAAGUCUGGUGCCAGCAGCCGCGGUAAUUCCAGCUCCAAUAGCGUAUAUUAAAGUUGUUGCAGUUAAAAAGCUCGUAGUUGAAUUUCGGGGUUAGUAGGUUGGUCAUGCCUCUGGUAUGUACUGAUCUCACUGAUUCCUCCUUCCUUAUGAACCGUAAUGCCAUUAAUUUGGUGUUGCGGGGAAUUUGGACUGUUACUUUGAAAAAAUUAGAGUGUUUAAAGCAGGCUAACGCUUGAAUACAUUAGCAUGGAAUAAUGAAAUAGGACGUUCGAUCUUAUUUUGUUGGUUUCUAGGAUUGACGUAAUGAUUAAUAGGGAUAGUUGGGGGCAUUAGUAUUCAAUUGUCAGAGGUGAAAUUCUUGGAUUUAUUGAAGACUAACUACUGCGAAAGCAUUUGCCAAGGAUGUUUUCAUUAAUCAAGAACGAAAGUUAGGGGAUCGAAGACGAUCAGAUACCGUCGUAGUCUUAACCAUAAACUAUGCCGACUAGGGAUCGGAUGAUG